Papio anubis (olive baboon) is the source of this 1588-nucleotide long non-coding RNA. NCBI's taxonomy places the organism in Eukaryota, Metazoa, Chordata, Mammalia, Primates, Cercopithecidae. The record is from Ensembl.
UGCACUCAAUCUUUUAAAAUAUGUUGUUUUGGUUCAUUUACAUGAUGAAAACAUAGCUUAAUUCAGAUAUGUACAUAGAAAAGGAAGGAACCUUUAAUGGAGUUUUCAGAUAAUUGUGAAUAUUUUUCUUAGUACACCAAAACUAAAUAAGUAAGAUUUUUACUUUUCUGUGAUAUGGAAACUGAAACCAUAUCAACAACAAUAUAUAAUCUGUUAUAUUGUAGUCUAUUUGUCUAUCUUGCACAUUAAAUUGAUUUUUUAUUCAUAUAACUUCGAAACAUCAUAGUUUUAUCACUUGGAAAAUAUUAGUUCAGACUGUUCUGUGGCUCUUCCGAAAGUGUAUACAGGUCACCAUACAAAUCAAAAGUAGCAUCCAUCAAGAUCACCACCAUUUUUUUCAGUAUAGUCUUUAGUUAUCCAGAAUCUCAUAAGUUCAUGGUAGUAGUUUUCAAUUUUUUUUUUUUUUUUUUUUUUUUUUUUUUUUGAGACAAGAGUCUCGGAGUGCAGUGGCGCGAUCUCGGCUCACUGCAAGCUCCGCCUCCCGAGUUCGCGCCAUUCUCCUGCCUCAGCCUCCCAAGUAGCUGGGACUACAGACGCCCGCCACCAAGCCCGGCUGAUUUUUUGUAUUUUUAGUAAAGACGGAGUUUCACCGUGUUAGCCAGGACGGUCUCAAUCUCCUGACCUUGUGAUUCGCCCGCCUCGUCCUCUCAAAGUGCUGGAUUACAGGCGUGAGCCGCUGCGCCCAGACUCAGUUUAUUUUUAACUCAAGUUUUGCCUUUGGCGAAAGCAACGAUGCCUCUCAAAGCUUAGCACGAAGAACUGUGCCCUCUUUUAAUUCCUUUCUGUGUUUAGUCAUCUGAACAAACACAUUUCUUUAAUUUCACACUUACAGUGGAAUUUUUCUUGCUGGCAGUGACCAUAGCUCAAGGUCAUGAUUGGAAAAUAGUAAUCCUCUAUGAAAGCUUCGUAUCACAGGAAGAAAGUACCUUGCUUCCUCUUCACCUUCUGCCAUGAUUGUAAGUUUCCUGAGGCCUCCUCAACCAUGCUGAACUCUUGCUUAGUUAUCAAUCCAGUGGGAAUAAAUUCUGGCAAGGGAGACAGCAUGGUGGAGAGGCUAAGAAUUCAGUGACUGGAGCCAAUUACACUGGGUUGGAAACCUCUAUCAUUGCUUACUAACUGGAUAAACUUGGGCAGGUCGCUCAACAUCUCUGAAAUAAUAUUGACUUAAGCCUAGGAUUGUUAGAAGAAUAAAUUGGUUAAUAUGUGUAAGGAUCUUAGUAUUAGACUCAAAAUAAGAAUCAUAAAUAUUACUGUUAAUUAUCACCAUGAAAACCCAAGGCUUACUGAGAUUACGUGAUCAACUUACUCUGCAGUGGAGAGGAGGAGGGUAAACAGAAGGAGCUUUGACCAACAGCUGCUGCCAAGCUUUACGACUUGGAGGAGAUAAGGGUUGUGGAUGUAUUUAUUAUCUUCUGUGGAAAGAAAAAUGAUCGUCUGUGUUAAAAUUCAAUCAAAUCUACAUUAUCUAAUUGAAGCACAUCCAAGGGACACAUUUUGUUGUUAACAGAAACAUUAAUCUGAAAGCAGG